This 1945-nucleotide ribosomal RNA is filed under the name human gut metagenome. Its description in RNAcentral is "bacterial LSU rRNA". It matches the Rfam family "Bacterial large subunit ribosomal RNA", at positions 1 to 1984 of the family's 2925-position model. The record is from RNAcentral.
UUAAAGUAGUAAGGGCGCAGGGUGGAUGCCUUGGCACUAAGAGCCGAUGAAAGACGUGAUAAGCUGCGAAAAGCUUCGGGGAGGAGCACAUAUCCAAUGAUCCGGAGAUAUCUGAAUGGGGAAACCCGGCAGAGGAAACCUCUGUCAGCGUGCAGUGAAUACAUAGCUGUACGUGGGGAACCCGGGGAACUGAAACAUCUAAGUACCCGGAGGAAGAGAAAGAAAAUUUAUCGAUUUCCAAAGUAGCGGCGAGCGAAAUGGAAAGAGCCCAAACCGUGAUGCGUGCAUCGCGGGGUUCGGACUGCGUUGUGGCAGACGUAAGAUAGGAGAACGGACUGGGAAGUCCGGCCGGAGAGAGUGAAAGCCUCGUAUCCGAAAUCCCAAGUCGCCUAGCAGGAUCCAGAGUAGGACGAGACACGAGAAACCUUGUCUGAACGAGCGGGGACCACCCCGUAAGGCUAAAUACUUCUUAGUGACCGAUAGCGCAUAGUACUGUGAAGGAAAGGUGAAAAGUACCCCGGGAGGGGAGUGAAAGAGAACCUGAAACCCUGUGUCUACAAGCUGUGGGACCUCUUUAUAUGAGGGACUGCGUACUUUUUGUAGAACGGUCCGGCGAGUUGUGCGUACUGGCGAGGUUAAGGACUUAAGGUCUGGAGCCGAAGUGAAAGCAAGCGUUAAUAGCGCGUCAAGUCAGUGAGUGCAGACCCGAAACCGGGUGACCUAUCCAUGUCCAGGUUGAAGCUUCCGUAAGAGGAAGUGGAGGACCGAACCCACAUCCGUUGAAAAGGGUGGGGAUGAGGUGUGGAUAGCGGAGAAAUUCCAAUCGAACCCGGAGAUAGCUGGUUCUCCUCGAAAUAGCUUUAGGGCUAGCCUCAUGAGAGUCUUAUGGAGGUAGAGCACUGAAUUGCCUAGGGGGCGUCAAAGCUUACCAAAGCAUAUCAAACUCCGAAUGCCAUCAAGAUGAUUCAUGGGAGUCAGACCAUACGAGAUAAGUUGGAUGGUCAAAAGGGAAAGAGCCCAGACCUACAGCUAAGGUCCCAAAGUGCGUGUUAAGUGGAAAAGGAUGUGGGGAUUCUAAGACAACUAGGACGUUGGCUUAGAAGCAGCCAUUCAUUGAAAGAGUGCGUAAUAGCUCACUAGUCGAGAGUCCCUGCGCCGAAAAUGUCCGGGGCUGAAACACGACACCGAAGCUUAGGAAUGUGUAAACAUUGGUAGAGGAGCAUUGCUGGCGGGAUGAAGCCAUACCGUAAGGAGUGGUGGACUGCUAGGAAGAGAGAAUGCCGGAAUGAGUAGCGAGAUGAAGGUGAGAAUCCUUCAGGCCGAAUAUCUAAGGUUUCCAGAGUAAAGCUGAUCUGCUCUGGGUAAGUCGGGACCUAAGGCGAGGUCGAAAGACGUAGUCGAUGGAUAACAGGUUGAAAUUCCUGUACCGCAUAUAAACAGAACUGUGGGGACACAGACAGGGAAUGGAAUCCGGGAAUGGAUAUCCCGGUGCAAGCGAGGUAGGAGUGCUGUUGGCAAAUCCGCAGCACGAUCUGAAGACGUGACGCGUACCGAACAUAAGUAGGGAAGUCCAGGCCCCUGGCUGUCAAGAAAAGCCGCUAUCGUUUUAUAUGUGCCCGUACCGCAAACCGACACAGGUGGAUGAGGAGAGAAUCCUAAGGCCGACGGGAGAAGUAUUGUUAAGGAACUCGGCAAAAUGACUCCGUAACUUCGGGAGAAGGAGUGCCAUGAGAGUGGCCGCAGAGAAAUGGCCCAAGCAACUGUUUAGCAAAAACACAGGUCUAUGCAAAACCGCAAGGUGAAGUAUAUGGGCUGACGCCUGCCCGGUGCUGGAAGGUUAAGGGGAGAGGUUAGCGCAAGCGAAGCUUUGAACUUAAGCCCCAGUAAACGGCGGCCGUAACUAUAACGGUCCUAAGGUAGCGAAAUUCCUUGUCGGGUAAGUUCC